AGUGAACGCUGGCGGUAGGCCUAACACAUGCAAGUCGAACGGGAGCACAGUAUGUGCUUGCUCAUACGGGUGGCGAGUGGCGGACGGUUGCGGAAUACAUCGGAAUCUACUUCUUCGUGGGGGAUAACGCCGGGAAAUUUACGCGAACACCGCAUACAACCUACGGGUGAAAGCAGGGGAUCUUCGGACUUUGCGCGAUUGAAUGAGCCGAUGUCGGAUUAGCUAGUUGGCGGGGUAAAGGCACAUCAAGGCGACGAUGGGUAGAUGCUCUGAGAGGAUCGUCCGCUACACUGUAUCUGAGGCACGGUCCAGACUCCUACGAGGGGACGCAGUCGGGAAUAUUGGACGAUGGGCGCGAGCCUAAUCCUGCCAUACCGCGUGAGUGCAGAAGGCCCUCGGGUUGUUGAGCGAUUUUGUUCUCAGGGAAAAGCAGCUCUUUUACCCACCACUGUUCUGACGGUACCCAAAGAAUAAGCCCCGGCUAACUCCGUG
Molecule: ribosomal RNA, 492 nt
Filed under: uncultured bacterium
Lineage: Bacteria
Description: partial 16S ribosomal RNA
Rfam family: Bacterial small subunit ribosomal RNA
Source: RNAcentral